Molecule: long non-coding RNA, 281 nt
Organism: Polyodon spathula (Mississippi paddlefish)
Lineage: Eukaryota; Metazoa; Chordata; Actinopteri; Acipenseriformes; Polyodontidae
Exons: 3
Source: RefSeq, a predicted model, not a curated record
UGCUAAGGGAUUCAGACCCAGCAGUCCUAUCCCACUGCCACUGUUCUUGUGCAGCAGGAAGUGCCUUGUGCAACCACAUCAUAGCACUUUGUUCCAGACAGCACACUACUCCCAGCAUGGAAGCUGUACUGAGACAGAACAAAGUUGGCACAAACCCAGAACAUGGGUGUGCAACCUGGCCUGUUAAUAAAAUGAUGAUUAAAAAACCUACCCUCAACAGCUUGGCUGAAGGAUGAAUUAGACGGCUGAUACGAAGCUGGAGCUGCAGCGAGAAGCCCGGA